CUAUUACUAUUACGCUGCACAAAUUUCUUCAAUGAUGUAUAAUAACUAAGUAGUAGGCGUUAUCAUGAAGCCUUCGACCAUGAAUAUUCAGAGUAAAAGCUAAAAUUUCGGAACGCAACGGCCACGUUCCCGCGAACAGAACUGUCAACUUCAUUGUGUUUAUUCAUGUAAGCCGACGACCAUUAGGGCAUAAUAAAAUAAAACGUUUUUAACUGAAAAUAACAGUAAACAUUUUAUAAGAAUGCGAAAAAAUAAAGAAAAUAGUGUUAACAGUGACGAAUUGCAAAAUUGGAGGGAAAAAACCAGAAGAUCGGAGAAGAAAAUGCAACUUUCGCGAUCAAGGUCAAUUGCGGCGUCCUUUCGUCGAUAGCAUAGCUACACGGACAUGAUAAAUAUCAAGAUAAAAAUGUAGCAGACCAUGGAUGUACCUACAUUAAUAGUGCCAGCGAACGAAUGUUUAAUGCAUACAUAACUAAAAUUCCGAAAAGGAACAUAAACGUCGGCAAGUGAAGAAUGAAGCGAGUUAAUUUUGACUUUGUUGGAAGGAGGCACCGCGCCAGAAGGUUGAAUAUGGGAAUAAUCCUUCUAGGACAAUCUUGUUGUUUGCUUGCAGAUAUAUAAUUACGAACAUUACAAAACAACAAUGACCCGGACAAGAUUAAAAAAAAAAAAAAAAAAAAAAAAAACUGCCUUGUUAAAUUACUGGUGCUCUGAAGAUGAACCCAGAGACUCAAGCUGUGGCUGGUGAGACGUUUGUCAGUUGGGAACAAGGCUAGGUAUCGAAAUGAAACAAAAUAAAGUUUCCUGUGACCUGUUCCCUCACUGUGAUGAUUUAGCACUCAAUAAAUUGUCUGCUGUAACCAGCUAUGAAAAGGUAAUGUCACUCUUAAGUGACCACUGGUUUUUUUUUUUUGUGUGAUUAUUAUCACUGAGAAUCUUACCUAAGGCAGCUGUUCAAUUAUUAAAUCACAAUCAAUGGCAUAAGAGGUUUUUAAAUCAUUUACUUAAACAUGCUGUUGACAAGUGGUGUUUUAAGAAAGUUUAGCAGAAGUACUAAUGACUUAUAAAUUAUUGUAAGUCCUAAAGCCCGGUACUUUAAACUUCAAGGGCUCAACUAUCAAUAUUUUUUUCUAAUGUAUGUUUUGCUGUUGCUUUUCUUUGUUAUCAUAUUAUAAAGUAUUUAUUACUUAUUUACUAACAACAUACAAAAACCCUGGUCAAAAGCAGCAAUAAGGAAACGGAGCAACACUUUCCCCUCUGUGUCACAAUGUGGUCGCACUCAGCGACACCACAACAGCCUGUGUUCAUUUAGAACAAAUUCUUGAAAGUUGUGGUUAACUUAAAUACACUUUUUUCAGUGCAAUGACAUCAUAUUUACAAGGAGUCAAGGAUUUUGUCCUGGUUAAUCAUACAAAAUUCCCUUGUGAUCUGUGCCAAUACCUACAGUUAUUCUGAAAAAUGAUUACUAUUGAGCAAUCGACAGUCAAUACUAGGAAGUUAUGUGACUGUGAUAUAUACUGUGUGUACAAAAUAUAUGCCUAUGAUGUUCUUACACAAGAAUAUACACUUUACACAGCUUAAUAUUUAACUAAAACAUUUUAUGUACAAAACCCUAAGGGAAGUAAAUACAGUUAUAUUUUUAAUAUAAGUAAAUUGAUUGCAACUAAGCAGUUUAAGUUAACAAAGCAUUGGAAUUGCCAUGAAACUAAUUGUUGCAUGAACACUUUUUACUUGAUUUUAUGAGUGUAGAAAAUAUCUCUGAUUCAUGUGGAAAGCUGAGAUUACAGUUUUAAGUCCUGUCAUUAGACUAUUUGACUAUAUGUCUCUCUAGCUAUGUGUCAGACCUUUCAUGAAGUGUCCAAGAUCUAGAGGUCACACAAUGAGCAACUGUUAGAUGUUAUAUCUAUUGUCCUUAUGAUAAAUGUUUUUUAGACUAUGUAGGUACCUAUACAAGAUGCACUCUAUUAUUCUUGAUACCAUAUGGAGCUAGGUAUAAUCAAAUUAAACUAGCUCCUUAGUACCUUAGAAAGCUGUCUAAUAUCUGGAUUUAUUUCUUUACCCAAUAAGAAAUAAUGUCAAUAUAUCACCUAGUGUGACUUAUUUUGGUGGCUAAUUGAAAGUAAAGGGUUAUAAAUAUACUUUUUGAAGAUAUUUAUUUACUAUACAGUAAUAGUUUAUCGACCUGCUGGGGCAACC
This is a long non-coding RNA of Cydia pomonella (codling moth), 2196 nucleotides long. RefSeq lists it as uncharacterized. Lineage: Eukaryota; Metazoa; Arthropoda; Insecta; Lepidoptera; Tortricidae. The record is from RefSeq and is a predicted model, not a curated record. The transcript has 2 exons.